Molecule: long non-coding RNA, 161 nt
Organism: Oncorhynchus masou masou (cherry salmon)
Lineage: Eukaryota; Metazoa; Chordata; Actinopteri; Salmoniformes; Salmonidae
Exons: 3
Source: RefSeq, a predicted model, not a curated record
GAGGCAUUUUGAGAAGUCACGUGGUCAAGUACAGCCGUUGGGUUAACAGAGGACCUGAAGGACAUGAGUGUUGCUGAGUCUCCCCUCCUCUUCAGUUUGCUCCUCAAUUCAUGUGCAUUGGGUGGAAAGCAAGAGAGAUAUUUAUUCCUGUCUGCACGAUG